RNAcentral lists this ribosomal RNA (485 nucleotides) under uncultured bacterium. RNAcentral describes it as "partial 16S ribosomal RNA". It matches the Rfam family "Bacterial small subunit ribosomal RNA", at positions 27 to 507 of the family's 1533-position model. The record is from RNAcentral.
GAUUGAACGCUGGCGGCAUGCUUUACACAUGCAAGUCGAACGGCAGCGCGGGCUUCGGCCUGGCGGCGAGUGGCGAACGGGUGAGUAAUGCAUCGGAACGUGCCCAGUAGUGGGGGAUAGCCCGGCGAAAGCCGGAUUAAUACCGCAUACGACCUGAGGGUGAACGCGGGGGACCGAAAGGCCUCGCGCUAUUGGAGCGGCCGAUGUCGGAUUAGCUAGUUGGUGGGGUAAAGGCUUACCAAGGCGACGAUCCGUAGCUGGUCUGAGAAGACGACCAGCCACACUGGGACUGAGACACGGCCCAGACUCCUACGGGAGGCAGCAGUGGGGAAUUUUGGACAAUGGGGGCAACCCUGAUCCAGCCAUGCCGCGUGCGGGAAGAAGGCCUUCGGGUUGUAAACCGCUUUUGUUCGGGAAGAAAUCCUCUGGGCUAAUACCCCGGGGGGAUGACGGUACCGGAAGAAUAAGCACCGGCUAACUACGUG